RNAcentral lists this long non-coding RNA (404 nucleotides) under Brassica napus (rape). RNAcentral's name for it is "long non-coding RNA (BNAP_LNC011816)". The record is from RNAcentral. Lineage: Eukaryota; Viridiplantae; Streptophyta; Magnoliopsida; Brassicales; Brassicaceae.
AGCUGAACGAGAACUUCUCGCACCACGUGCAAGUUUGUCCGCCAAAGUAUUUUAUGCUCUUGGAAUAUGUCUGAUCCGGAAGUCAGGGAAGAAAGUUUUAUUGCGGCUGAAUUCUUCCAUGUGUGUAGAGAAAGAUGGUUAUUCUUCAGGUGUUGACACCAUCUUCACCAAUUGAGAACAAUCCGUCGCAAAAACUACAUCAGAAAAUUGCAGGGUCUUCAUGCACUCCAUUGCCCAAAUUAGUGUUUCACAUUAAGCAUGCAGAGGUGACAGGCUUCUACGAAGAUUCAUCGCCCCCAUCAUAACAUCUGUCGAGCCACUCUUUCUGCAGAACCACCAUUGUCCCGUAAAUAUAUCAUUUUCUUUCCAGGCUCCAUCAAUAUAACAAACCCUGGUAUUUUCCA